UUGUGUUUUUCAUGUCAAAAUAUGGCAUAAUUGAGUCUGCAGGUUUUUCCUUAACAAACAUGUGUUGUAAUGGGGUAAGUGGAUGAUUUCUGUCUUUAGAAGUUUCUUCUAAUAACUGUUCAACCCAGUCUUCAAAUUCUACCAUUUCUAACUCAAUAUCCAAUAAUUUAAGUGCUGCUUUUAUAUCAUUCAUAUUUGCCCAUCCUUCAGAGUCUAAAUUAAAAUCAUUAUUAAUUGAUAAAGACGGAUUGUUCAUUCCAAAACAACAAACUUGACAGCAAAAAUCGACCGAAACUAAAUGAAUUGCCAUUUUUGUUCUAGGUAAAGUCCCCAUCUUAAUGCAUCCCUUCACAAAUGCAUUUGGGAGGUCCGAAAUAUUGGAUGCGCCUGUAAUGCUGUUUCCUCCUAUUCUUCCUGGUCUAUAUAUGGCUAUAGGGAAUCCUCUUUUUCUUGCUGAUCUAAGAAUUCUUUCUGCUGCCCAUUUAGAUUGUGAAUAACCCAAUAAUAGUGAUUUGUGAUGAGUUCCUUCAUCGUCAUUUGUAAUCACUGGGUCAUCUUCGUAAAAUAUUCUUCUUCCAUCAUCCAAAAAGUAAGUUCUUUCCAUAAAUUCAGUAUUUUCCAAGCCAGAUAAAUACGGUUCUACUGGAGGAUUUUCAAUAUGAUCAUAAAAAACUCCCAAAGUUGAUACAUGAUGUAUUGGAAUAAUGCAAGAAUUACAUUUUCCUUUUUCAGUACAAUUUUUGCUACAAUGGUUGGGAGCAGAAGAGAGAUUUAGCAACUCUACAAUGCUUAAUACAUUCACAUUUUUAAUAUUUGAAUAAGAAGAUGUGAAGUUUACCACAGCACCAAUAUGAAUAAUGGAAUCUAUUGAAUUUACUAUCUCUUUAUAUUCAGUUUUAUUUAUACCAAAAUAUGGGAUUGAAGUGUCUCCAAC
Molecule: non-coding RNA, 934 nt
Filed under: Cryptosporidium parvum
Lineage: Eukaryota; Apicomplexa; Conoidasida; Eucoccidiorida; Cryptosporidiidae
Source: RNAcentral